AUUGAACGCUGGCGGCAGGCCUAACACAUGCAAGUCGAACGGUAACAGGAAGAAGCUUGCUUCUUUGCUGACGAGUGGCGGACGGGUGAGUAAUGUCUGGGAAACUGCCUGAUGGAGGGGGAUAACUACUGGAAACGGUAGCUAAUACCGCAUAACGUCGCAAGACCAAAGAGGGGGACCUUCGGGCCUCUUGCCAUCGGAUGUGCCCAGAUGGGAUUAGCUAGUAGGUGGGGUAACGGCUCACCUAGGCGACGAUCCCUAGCUGGUCUGAGAGGAUGACCAGCCACACUGGAACUGAGACACGGUCCAGACCCCUACGGGAGGCAGCAGUGGGGAAUAUUGCACAAUGGGCGCAAGCCUGAUGCAGCCAUGCCGCGUGUAUGAAGAAGGCCUUCGGGUUGUAAAGUACUUUCAGCGGGGAGGAAGGGAGUAAAGUUAAUACCUUUGCUCAUUGACGUUACCCGCAGAAGGAGCACCGGCUAACUCCGUG
RNAcentral lists this ribosomal RNA (490 nucleotides) under uncultured bacterium. Its description in RNAcentral is "partial 16S ribosomal RNA". It matches the Rfam family "Bacterial small subunit ribosomal RNA", at positions 30 to 507 of the family's 1533-position model. The record is from RNAcentral.